RNAcentral lists this ribosomal RNA (252 nucleotides) under uncultured bacterium. RNAcentral's name for it is "partial 16S ribosomal RNA". It matches the Rfam family "Bacterial small subunit ribosomal RNA", at positions 30 to 289 of the family's 1533-position model. The record is from RNAcentral.
UUGAACGCUGGCGGCAUGCCUUACACAUGCAAGUCGAACAGUAGAGGGGCAACCCUUGAGAGUGGCGAACGGGUGAGUAAUAUAUCGGAACGUGCCCAGUCGUGGGGGAUAACGCAGCGAAAGCUGCGCUAAUACCGCAUACGAUCUAUGGAUGAAAGCGGGGGAUCGCAAGACCUCGCGCGAUUGGAGCGGCCGAUAUCAGAUUAGGUAGUUGGUGGGGUAAAAGCCCACCAAGCCGACGAUCUGUAGCUG